GAUGAACGCUGGCGGCGUGCCUAAUACAUGCAAGUCGAGCGAACAGACGAGGAGCUUGCUCCUCUGACGUUAGCGGCGGACGGGUGAGUAACACGUGGAUAACCUACCUAUAAGACUGGGAUAACUUCGGGAAACCGGAGCUAAUACCGGAUAAUAUAUUGAACCGCAUGGUUCAAUAGUGAAAGACGGUUUUGCUGUCACUUAUAGAUGGAUCCGCUCCGCAUUAGCUAGUUGGUAAGGUAACGGCUUACCAAGGCAACGAUGCGUAGCCGACCUGAGAGGGUGAUCGGCCACACUGGAACUGAGACACGGUCCAGACUCCUACGGGAGGCAGCAGUAGGGAAUAUUCCGCAAUGGGCGAAAGCUUGACGGAGCAACGCCGCGUGAGUGAUGAAGGUCUUCGGAUCGUAAAACUCUGUUAUUAGGGAAGAACAAAUGUGUAAGUAACUAUGCACGUCUUGACGGUACCUAAUCAGAAAGCCACGGCUAACUACGCG
RNAcentral lists this ribosomal RNA (497 nucleotides) under uncultured bacterium. RNAcentral's name for it is "partial 16S ribosomal RNA". It matches the Rfam family "Bacterial small subunit ribosomal RNA", at positions 28 to 507 of the family's 1533-position model. The record is from RNAcentral.